RNAcentral lists this non-coding RNA (101 nucleotides) under Dehalogenimonas formicexedens. RNAcentral describes it as "TPP sequence". It matches the Rfam family "TPP riboswitch aptamer (THI element)". From Rfam's summary of the family: Vitamin B(1) in its active form thiamin pyrophosphate (TPP) is an essential coenzyme that is synthesised by coupling of pyrimidine and thiazole moieties in bacteria. The previously detected thiamin-regulatory element, thi box was extended, resulting in a new, highly conserved RNA secondary structure, the THI element, which is widely distributed in eubacteria and also occurs in some archaea. Lineage: Bacteria; Bacillati; Chloroflexota; Dehalococcoidia; Dehalococcoidales; Dehalococcoidaceae. The record is from Rfam by way of RNAcentral.
CCAGACCGCUAGGGGUGCGAGCCUGCUGAGAGUCCACCUAUCGGACAACCCUGGCACCUGAACUCGAUAAUCCGAGCGUAGGAAAGCGGUGCCGCUGAAUG